Molecule: ribosomal RNA, 301 nt
Filed under: uncultured bacterium
Lineage: Bacteria
Description: partial 16S ribosomal RNA
Rfam family: Bacterial small subunit ribosomal RNA
Source: RNAcentral
CAGCCGCCGCGGGAAUACGAAGGGGGCUAGCGUUGUUCGGAAUUACUGGGCGUAAAGGGCGCGUAGGCGGCCAUUCAAGUUAGAUGUGAAAGCCCUGGGCUCAACCUAGGAAUUGCAUUUGAUACUGUUUGGCUUGAGUUCGGGAGAGGUGAGUGGAAUUCCCAGUGUAGAGGUGAAAUUCGUAGAUAUUGGGAAGAACACCAGUGGCGAAGGCGGCUCACUGGACCGACACUGACGCUGAGGCGCGAAAGCGUGGGGAGCAAACAGGAUUAGAUACCCGCGUAGUCCCUGUCUCUUAUAA